UUUGCUGGCGACCGGCGCACGGGUGAGUAACACGUAUCCAACCUGCCCUUACUCGGGGAUAGCCUUUCGAAAGAAAGAUUAAUACCCGAUAGCAUAAUGAUUCCGCAUGGUUUCAUUAUUAAAGGAUUCCGGUAAAGGAUGGGGAUGCGUUCCAUUAGGUUGUUGGUGAGGUAACGGCUCACCAAGCCUUCGAUGGAUAGGGGUUCUGAGAGGAAGGUCCCCCACAUUGGAACUGAGACACGGUCCAA
RNAcentral lists this ribosomal RNA (248 nucleotides) under uncultured bacterium. RNAcentral's name for it is "partial 16S ribosomal RNA". It matches the Rfam family "Bacterial small subunit ribosomal RNA", at positions 84 to 334 of the family's 1533-position model. The record is from RNAcentral.